AGAGCGAACGCUGGCGGCAGGCCUAACACAUGCAAGUCGAGCGCCCGUAGCAAUACGGGAGCGGCAGACGGGAUAGUAACACGUGGGAACGCGCCCUUCGGUUCGGAAUAACUCAGGGAAACUUGAGCUAAUACCGAAUACGCCCUUACGGGGAAAGAUUUAUUGCCGAAGGAACGGCCCGCGUCCGAUUAGCUAGUUGGUGAGGUAAUGGCUCACCAAGGCUACGAUCGGUAGCUGGUCUGAGAGGAUGACCAGCAUCACUGGGACUGAGACACGGCCCAGACUCCUACGGGAGGCAGCAGUGGGGAAUAUUGGACAAUGGGCGCAAGCCUGAUCCAGCCAUGCCGCGUGGAUGAUGAAGGCCUUAGGGUUGUAAAGUCCUUUUAACGGGGAAGAUAAUGACGGUACCCGUAGAAUAAGCCCCGGCUAACUUCGUGCCAGCAGCCG
RNAcentral lists this ribosomal RNA (447 nucleotides) under uncultured bacterium. RNAcentral describes it as "SSU rRNA". It matches the Rfam family "Bacterial small subunit ribosomal RNA", at positions 26 to 517 of the family's 1533-position model. The record is from RNAcentral.